GUUUCCGUAGGUGAACCUGCGGAAGGAUCAUUACCGAGUUCUCGGGCUUCGGCUCGAAUCUCCCACCCUUUGUGAACGUACCUCUGUUGCUUUGGCGGCUCUUUGCCGCGAGGAGGCCCUCGCGGGCCCCCCCGCGCGCUUUCCGCCAGAGGACCUUCAAACUCCAGUCAGUAAACGUCGACGUCUGAUAAACAAGUUAAUAAACUAAAACUUUCAACAACGGAUCUCUUGGUUCUGGCAUCGAUGAAGAACGCAGCGAAAUGCGAUAAGUAAUGUGAAUUGCAGAAUUCAGUGAAUCAUCGAAUCUUUGAACGCACAUUGCGCCCCCUGGCAUUCCGGGGGGCAUGCCUGUUCGAGCGUCAUUACAACCCUCAAGCUCUGCUUGGUAUUGGGCGCCGUCCUCUCUGCGGACGCGCCUUAAAGACCUCGGCGGUGGCUGUUCAGCCCUCAAGCGUAGUAGAAUACACCUCGCUUUGGAGCGGUUGGCGUCGCCCGCCGGACGAACCUUCUGAACUUUUCUCAAGGUUGACCUCGGAUCAGGUAGGGAUACCCGCUGAACUUAAGCAUAUCAAUA
Molecule: ribosomal RNA, 574 nt
Filed under: Diplodia seriata
Lineage: Eukaryota; Fungi; Ascomycota; Dothideomycetes; Botryosphaeriales; Botryosphaeriaceae
Description: eukaryotic LSU rRNA
Rfam family: 5.8S ribosomal RNA (bases 209-362)
Source: RNAcentral